AGAGUUUGAUCAUGGCUCAGAUUGAACGCUGGCGGCGUGCCUAACACAUGCAAGUCGAACGCGAAAGUCUCUUCGGAGACGAGUAGAGUGGCGCACGGGUGAGUAACGCGUGGAUUAUCUACCUACUGGUACGGGACAACAGUUGGAAACGACUGCUAAUACCGUAUACGCUGGUAACGGGAAAGGGGGCCUCUUCUUGAAAGCUCUCGCCAGUAGAUGAGUCCGCGUUUCAUUAGCUAGACGGUGGGGUAACGGCCUACCGUGGCAACGAUGAAUAGCAGGCCUGAGAGGGUGGCCUGCCACACUGGGACUGGAACACGGCCCAGACUCCUACGGGAGGCAGCAGUGGGGAAUAUUGCGCAAUGGACGAAAGUCUGACGCAGCGACGCCGCGUGGAGGAUGAAGGUUUUCGGAUCGUAAACUCCUGUCAAGAGGGAAGAAACCUAUCAAAAUUAAUACUUUUGGUAAUUGACGGUACCUCUAGAGGAAGCACCGGCUAAUUCAGUGCCAGCAGCCGCGGUAAUACUGAAGGUGCAAGCGUUAAUCGGAAUCACUGGGCGUAAAGCGCUCGUAGGUGGCUUUGUAAGUCAGGUGUGAAAGCCCACGGCUCAACCGUGGAAUUGCACUUGAUACUGCAUCGCUAGAGUAUAGGAGAGGGAAGUGGAAUUUCUGGUGUAGGAGU
This 682-nucleotide ribosomal RNA is filed under the name uncultured delta proteobacterium. RNAcentral describes it as "bacterial SSU rRNA". It matches the Rfam family "Bacterial small subunit ribosomal RNA", at positions 8 to 682 of the family's 1533-position model. The record is from RNAcentral. Lineage: Bacteria; Deltaproteobacteria.